UGUUGCCUCAAGUUUAAUUGGAAAUCGCGUGCCUUGUGAAGAAUGGACACUCAGUAGAUGCUUAUUGAUGAACCUGUUGGUUGAGGAUAACUCGCUAACUUUUCUGAGCUUUGUUGGAAAAACUGUCACUGUAUCUCUAUGCAUUACAGAAAAUGGCUAGUUAAAAACUUGUCAAGAUUAUGAAUGAGUGCAUCCAAAAGUAAUCACUGGAAUUGCUGUUCAUUGUGGGCUUCCCAGCAUUCUCCUCUGGGCAUUUAUAUCAAAUAACUUAUGAGUGAUGCAGAAUUAGUAUUCACCGGUCAGACAUUGAUUAUUUAGAAUUCCCUCUGAUUUGAAUUACAUCUACUGUUUUUUUCUCCCAUCCAUUUAUGGGUCAAAUGUACAAUAAGCCAAAACAUGUUGAUUCUGGUGAAAUUUAGCAGAGAAAAACAGCUUCACCUAGUGGCCACAGAAACUCGAAAAGCUUUACUGAAAAGAAAUAAAUUGGAUAUCUUCUCAUCCUGGAUAUGAACUGGAUUCCAACUUAACCUUCCAACUGUUUUGCUGUUUCUCUGAAGUCUGAACCUUGUGUAUGGCAAUACUUAUCUCAAGCAAAAAUAUAGUUUCACAUUGGUAGUACUGUAUUCAGGAAAACUGGAAAUUGUACUAUGAAGGAGCACUUCUACCACAUCCGUAUCUAAGUCUACAUUCACAGCUGCUGGAAACAGAUAUUGUAUUCAUACUAUGGUGGGAAACACAUAAUGUAUGUAUGUAUACACAUGUGUGCACACAUAUAUAUGCUAGCGUAUAAUCUGGAAAAAUUUUGCUAAGAUAUAUAGGAAGAGAACCUUUUUAUUCAGAAUAUUGAACAAGUAGGACUCAUAGUGUAAAAUUAAGAAAAAUUAUUUUUCUUCUACUGCCCUUUCUAUGGAUUUGGUUCUUCCUCUUCCCCUGAAUGUAAACUUAAGCAGUCUUCUAUGCAUUUUGUGUUCAUUCCUAAAUAUUAGAAAUAGUUAUUUGAUUAUUUAGCCUUUAGUCUCAGUUUAAUAACCAAAAUAUGAGGUUAAAAUUUAAUUCUGGCUACAGAAUUAAGGCUUCUCUCUCCUGCCGCACUUCCAGGCCAGUUGCAGGCAUGAUACCAGCAGUCUGGGAGGUAGAGACAAGAGGACACAUCUCUGCUGCUCCCUUCUUUCCCCAUGGUUAUGCGCCAACUUUGGUUUCACCAGGCCUACAGUGCUUCCCAGGUUUGGAGUGUGGGGAAGGAGAAGAUUUAAUGGAAGCAGCUUAAGGGAAAUGCUCAAACUAAACUGAUACUUUCUUCAUGAUCUAGCAUUGAAACUUUCUGGACUUGACAGAUAUUUAAAAUUAACUCUUUUUCUCAUUAACAUUUUCAUGGGUUCUUCCAAGAUCCACAUUACCCAACCUGUGGGUUCCCAUGACAAGGAUUAAGGCAUCUCUGUUUCUUCUGGACCUUUAUUUACCUGGAUUCUUUCUCUAGGGACUGUUUACCCUUAUGGGCCAUCCUUUUGAGCAUAACCUAACAAGAUUCAUGCUGGCUUUAAGUGAGUGGUCCACAUUUGGUUCAUGGGAAAACCACAUAGUUUGUCCCCAGCAAACCUGGAAGUAAUAUUUAUUUUACUGCUGGAAUUAAGGAAAACCAAAAAUCCUAUUACAAAAUGGCUCCUCUAAACAUUCACAUUACCCCUUUUUGUCUCUACCCCCUGAGGAACUAACCAACUCUAGCUCUUUGGAUUUUCCAAAUGAGAGGUCAACACAUCGAUGUCUCCAAGACCUUAAGUUCUUCUAGUGGUCUCUUUAAGCUUCCUCCCUUGAAUUAUGGUGAAAAGGGACUGCCUGCUACCCCCUCCUCUUGAGGAGAGGGGUGGUAUCACAGCCUAACAAUAAUUUCCAAAAAUUUUCUCCUCCAGCUCUAAUGCUUAACCAGUUUAGACUUUCAAAGUGGAUAAUGUAAUUUAAAGCCUUACAGCUAGUUAUGCUCUACUUCUUCUAUAAGUCCUGCAACCAGGUGGUCUCAAUCCUCACUUGCGAAUACUGCAUUUACUCACCUUGUGCCCUAGCCAAAACUUCCACAACAAAUUCUGUGGUGCAUUUAAGUGAAAGAUGUUAUUUGAUUGAUAGAGAGAUAGAUAGAUAGAUACAGAUAUAGAUAUAGAUAUGUAUUAGAACCAUGUCAAAUGGUUAACUUUUUUAAAAAGGUAAAUUUUUUAUAUUGAGAUAAUUAUAGAUUCUCAUACACUCGUAAGAAAUAACACAGAAAGAUCCCAUGUAGCCUUUAUCCAGUUUCCCCAGUGAUAAUAUCUUGCAAAACUAUAGUCCAAUAUCACAACCAAGAUACUGGCAUUGAUAGAUCACUUCCAUCACCACAAACAUCCCUCAUGUUGCCCUUUUAUAGCCACACUCAUUUCCCUCCUGCUGCCACCCUCUCCUUUACCCAUAACCACUUAUCUGUUCUCUAUUUUUGUAAUUUUAUCAUUUCAAGAAUACUGUAGAAAUGGAAUAAUACAGUAUGUAUUUUAGGGCUUAUCUUUUCUACACUCGGCAUGAUUCUCUGGAGAUUCAUCCAGGUUGUUGCAUGUAUCAAUAGUUCAUUCCUUUUUUACUGCUGAACAGUAUUCCAUUGUAUGUAUGUACCAUAGUUUAACUAUUUGCUC
Homo sapiens (human) is the source of this 2651-nucleotide long non-coding RNA. Ensembl annotates it as METTL14 divergent transcript. Its record names the gene METTL14-DT. Lineage: Eukaryota; Metazoa; Chordata; Mammalia; Primates; Hominidae. The record is from Ensembl.